GAUGAACGCUGGCUGCGUGCCUAAUACAUGCAAGUCGAGCGAACGGACGAGAAGCUUGCUUCUCUGAUGUUAGCGGCGGACGGGUGAGUAACACGUGGAUAACCUACCUAUAAGACUGGGAUAACUUCGGGAAACCGGAGCUAAUACCGGAUAAUAUUUUGAACCGCAUGGUUCAAAAGUGAAAGACGGUCUUGCUGUCACUUAUAGAUGGAUCCGCGCUGCAUUAGCUAGUUGGUAAGGUAACGGCUUACCAAGGCAACGAUGCAUAGCCGACCUGAGAGGGUGAUCGGCCACACUGGAACUGAGACACGGUCCAGACUCCUACGGGAGGCAGCAGUAGGGAAUCUUCCGCAAUGGGCGAAAGCCUGACGGAGCAACGCCGCGUGAGUGAUGAAGGUCUUCGGAUCGUAAAACUCUGUUAUUAGGGAAGAACAUAUGUGUAAGUAACUGUGCACAUCUUGACGGUACCUAAUCAGAAAGCCACGGCUAACUACGUGCCAGCAGCCGCGGUAAUACGUAGGUGGCAAGCGUUAUCCGGAAUUAUUGGGCGUAAAGCGCGCGUAGGCGGUUUUUUAAGUCUGAUGUGAAAGCCCACGGCUCAACCGUGGAGGGUCAUUGGAAACUGGAAAACUUGAGUGCAGAAGAGGAAAGUGGAAUUCCAUGUGUAGCGGUGAAAUGCGCAGAGAUAUGGAGGAACACCAGUGGCGAAGGCGACUUUCUGGUCUGUAACUGACGCUGAUGUGCGAAAGCGUGGGGAUCAAACAGGAUUAGAUACCCUGGUAGUCCACGCCGUAAACGAUGAGUGCUAAGUGUUAGGGGGUUUCCGCCCCUUAGUGCUGCAGCUAACGCAUUAAGCACUCCGCCUGGGGAGUACGACCGCAAGGUUGAAACUCAAAGGAAUUGACGGGGACCCGCACAAGCGGUGGAGCAUGUGGUUUAAUUCGAAGCAACGCGAAGAACCUUACCAAAUCUUGACAUCCUUUGACAACUCUAGAGAUAGAGCCUUCCCCUUCGGGGGACAAAGUGACAGGUGGUGCAUGGUUGUCGUCAGCUCGUGUCGUGAGAUGUUGGGUUAAGUCCCGCAACGAGCGCAACCCUUAAGCUUAGUUGCCAUCAUUAAGUUGGGCACUCUAAGUUGACUGCCGGUGACAAACCGGAGGAAGGUGGGGAUGACGUCAAAUCAUCAUGCCCCUUAUGAUUUGGGCUACACACGUGCUACAAUGGACAAUACAAAGGGCAGCGAAACCGCGAGGUCAAGCAAAUCCCAUAAAGUUGUUCUCAGUUCGGAUUGUAGUCUGCAACUCGACUACAUGAAGCUGGAAUCGCUAGUAAUCGUAGAUCAGCAUGCUACGGUGAAUACGUUCCCGGGUCU
RNAcentral lists this ribosomal RNA (1372 nucleotides) under uncultured bacterium. RNAcentral's name for it is "bacterial SSU rRNA". It matches the Rfam family "Bacterial small subunit ribosomal RNA", at positions 28 to 1381 of the family's 1533-position model. The record is from RNAcentral.